This 482-nucleotide unclassified non-coding RNA is filed under the name Hevea brasiliensis (rubber tree). The record is from RNAcentral. Lineage: Eukaryota; Viridiplantae; Streptophyta; Magnoliopsida; Malpighiales; Euphorbiaceae.
UGUUUCAGCAGUUUACUAAAUUGUGGCUUGGAAAUUUCAGAAGCUCCUCCAAGGGCAUUUCCUCUAACAAGAACGGGAAGUCCUGACAAAGAUUCUGCAACAGUUGCACCCUUCUGCCGUAGCUCAGAAGUCUUCAAGUUUCUAAAUGCUUUAUCCUUCACAAUUACACCUUUUCCAGCUAAAGCCCAAUUAAGACCACAUGCAAAUCCAGUGUCCUCCCUGUCCCUAGGAAAAUUGACUGUUUCACCAUCCUCCUCAACUGAUGGCACUGAAACUACGUUACGUCUCGGGUAAAGCAAGAAAGUAAGAGAAGCAGUGGGUCUGGAGAAGGAGCGAAAGAAUGAGGGGUCCAGAAAGCGUUUGAUCACCAAGUUGUUCAUUUUAUGUUCACACCGCUAACAACAAGAAGCACGAGAGAGACUGAAAGAGAGAAGGAGACGAAAGUGGUCGAAGCUCAGAGCUGUGUGAGAGUUUAGGCCUUC